AUGGCCUCCGAAUAACUAGAUGCGAGUAAAUAUGAUCUGCAUCUGGCUCAGACAGAGGCCAAGAGUGAGAACAAGGGCAUAGCUAUGUCUCUUGGCUGAAUCCUUUUGAGGGAAGGGAAAUUAUAUGUUAGUUCCUUUCUUAGAUGGCUUCAGAUAUCU
This is a small nucleolar RNA of Dioscorea cayenensis subsp. rotundata (Guinea yam), 159 nucleotides long. RefSeq annotates it as small nucleolar RNA snoR138. Lineage: Eukaryota; Viridiplantae; Streptophyta; Magnoliopsida; Dioscoreales; Dioscoreaceae. The transcript has a single exon. The record is from RefSeq and is a predicted model, not a curated record.